Molecule: non-coding RNA, 1502 nt
Organism: Anas platyrhynchos (mallard)
Lineage: Eukaryota; Metazoa; Chordata; Aves; Anseriformes; Anatidae
Source: RefSeq, a predicted model, not a curated record
CUUAGGUGAAUGGGAUAAAACAUGACUAUGACUCCAGUUCUGUGGGCUUGCUCCUUCUAAUUCUCCAAUUUAGAUCAUGGCUGGGCUAACACAGAAGCAGGCUGUCAAAUAUCCUGAGCCUUGAGAGAAAUGAGAAACAUCUCAGUCUGUAAACAAUGGAACUAAUGGAACCUGGUUUCCUGAAGAUUUCUGUGGAACUUCUUAUAAGAAAAGAGCACCUCAGGAAUCAAGUCCAGAAUCCCUCCACCAGAGACAACCAUGCAAUAGUCACUCCCCCAGAAGGGUUCACAAAAUUGCUACUCCCUCCCUAUCUUUCACAGACACUUCCUAUAAUCACACAGUGAAUUUCAGACCUGAAGUAAAAGCUCGAGGAACACACUUCUAAUUACUAUUGCAAAGAGAACAGAAAAGAUGAAGUAUGUUACCAGUGAUUUAUACCUCUACUAAGCCGUAUUUUUGCUCAAUGACUAGCAGGUCUGUUGCACACUACCAAAGAUGAUCUGAAGUGAUCUCUGCCAGUCAAAUCUGAAAAAAAAAAUCCUUUCCAGACCCCAAAUCAAGCAAUCGGAGUAACUCUGGGUGUGUGAGCAAGACUCAUCAGCCAGACAUUUGUCCGAGUUUAAUACUGCUUGCCAAAUCCACUCACAUACCACUUUCAUGCAGUUUAGUUGUGAGACAAGAACUAGUGAGGAGAAAAAAAGUCAGAUAUAGAGUUCAUGUUGUAUGUUCUUGAGGAUGACACUAUUCCCAUUCCAUUCCAUUUUCAGAAAAGAAAGGACCAGGGGUUUUAGGCAAACUAGUGUCAGAUGUGGUGAGAUUUUAGCUUGGAUAGCAGGGGACUUUUGUAUUUCCUUUGUAAGAGCCAAAAAAAUAAAUAUAAUAAAAAAUUGCAAACAAACAAACAAAAAAACUCAUUGUUUUGAAAUAGCAUAGCCCAGAUUAAAAAGUAAUAAUAAUUAAAUGAUGUGUUUUUCAGUGAGUUUUGAUUACCCCUGAGGAAAAAAGGUAGCCAAAUUAGACAUCAAAAUGGAAAACAUCCUUUCUGUCUCUUGCAGUUAGGUAAUGAGAUUCCAUACACCACGGUGUGCAUAAAAAAUAAACAUGAAACAAAGAAACUCAACCAAGUAGAUUUCAAGCAGCUUUUCAAAUCCAUUAGGGAUAGCUGUAAAUCUAAUACUCAUGACUUAAAAUACCAAGUAUCUACCUCAAGAUACCCUCCUAAGCUCUGAUCUCUUCCUUAAUUUACUGAGCUCACUUCAUUUUACCUUACUUAGCUUCCAAGCUUCACAACGGAAAACAGCGCGCACUUUUCAACAGUGUCUAACUAGGAAAAGAAUCUAAGAGGAAAGGCACAUACAUAGUUGAUGAGAGUACAUCCAAAGGCCAUUUUCAGCUAUAAUAGAAUACCUCCGUGUACCUUGAUGAAGCUGAUGGGAUUACUUCUAAAUGACUCUGCUAUCAGAAAGAGCAGAAUCUGUCCCAUCAACCUGCAAAUAUUUGAU